RNAcentral lists this microRNA precursor (85 nucleotides) under Pan paniscus (pygmy chimpanzee). RNAcentral's name for it is "miRNA (ENSPPAG00000010451.1)". Lineage: Eukaryota; Metazoa; Chordata; Mammalia; Primates; Hominidae. The record is from RNAcentral.
CUGGAAUUACAGGCGUGAGCCACCGCGCCCAGCCUGUAAAGGCACACUUUAUGCCGGGAGCGGUGGCUCACGCCUGUAAUCCCAG